UUCAUCGGGUUGGGUUGGGUUGGGUUGGGUUUCGGGUUAUGAUUCAUAACCCGAAACCCAACCCAACCCAACCUC
This 75-nucleotide microRNA precursor is filed under the name Olea europaea subsp. europaea. The record is from RNAcentral. Lineage: Eukaryota; Viridiplantae; Streptophyta; Magnoliopsida; Lamiales; Oleaceae.